AUUUAUAUAGUAUAAAAAGUAUGCGUGACUUCCAAUUAUGCGGUCUAAAAUUUUUAGUAUAAAUA
This 65-nucleotide transfer RNA is filed under the name Simulium jisigouense. RNAcentral describes it as "tRNA-Gly". Lineage: Eukaryota; Metazoa; Arthropoda; Insecta; Diptera; Simuliidae. The record is from RNAcentral.